This 207-nucleotide ribosomal RNA is filed under the name uncultured bacterium. Its description in RNAcentral is "partial 16S ribosomal RNA". It matches the Rfam family "Bacterial small subunit ribosomal RNA", at positions 568 to 774 of the family's 1533-position model. The record is from RNAcentral.
CGUGUAGGCGGUCUGUUAAGUCUGAUGUGAAAGCCCUGGGCUCAACCCAGGAAGUGCAUUGGAAACUGGCAGACUUGAGUACGGGAGAGGAAAGUGGAAUUCCGAGUGUAGGGGUGAAAUCCGUAGAUAUUCGGAGGAACACCAGUGGCGAAGGCGGCUUUCUGGACCUAUACUGACGCUGAGACGCGAAAGCGUGGGGAGCAAACA